Molecule: ribosomal RNA, 207 nt
Filed under: uncultured bacterium
Lineage: Bacteria
Description: partial 16S ribosomal RNA
Rfam family: Bacterial small subunit ribosomal RNA
Source: RNAcentral
CAUGUAGGCGGUUAUAAAAGCUUGAUGUGAAAUCUCUGGGCUUAACCCAGAAACUGCAUUGAGAACUGUAUGACUAGAGUUACUAAGGGGAAACUAGAAUUCCAGGUGUAGGGGUGGAAUCUGUAGAUAUCUGGAAGAAUACCAAUGGCGAAGGCAAGUUUCUAGUAGAUAACUGACGCUGAGGUGCGAAGGUGUGGGGAGCGAACA